GGUCACUGCUAUUGGGAUUCGACUAAGCCAUGCGAGUCGAGAGGGUUCGGCCCUCGGCUGACGGCUCAGUAACACGUGGAUAAUCUGCCCUUAGGUGGAGAAUAACCUCGGGAAACUGAGAAUAAUACUCCAUAGAUCUAGAAGGCUGGAAUGCAUCUAGAUUAAAAGCUCUGGCGCCUAAGGAUGAGUCCGCGGACUAUCAGGUUGUAGUCAGGGUAAUGACCUGACUAGCCUACGACGGAUACGGGUUGUGAGAGCAAUAACCCGGAGACGAUAUCUGAGACACGAUAUCGGGCCCUACGGGGCGCAGCAGGCGCGAAAACUUCACACUGUGCGAAAGCACGAUGAGGGGAUCCCAAGUGCUGGUUCGAAAGAGUCAGCUGUUUCUUUGUCUAAAAAACAUAGAGAGUAAGAGCUGGGUAAGACGGGUGCCAGCCGCCGCGGUAAUACCUGCAGCUCGAGUGGUGGCCGCUAUUAUUGGGCCUAAAACGUCCGUAGCCGGCUUAGUAAAUGCUUGGGUAAAUUGUGUAGCUUAACUAUACGAAUUCCGGGUAGACUGCUAGGCUUGAGAUCGGGAGAGGCUAGAGGUACUCCUGGGGUAGAGGUGAAAUUCUGUAAUCCUAGGGGGACCACCAGUGGCGAAGGCGUCUAGCUAGAACGAGUCUGACGGUGAGGGACGAAGCCCUGGGGCGCAAACCGGAUUAGAUACCCGGGUAGUCCAGGGUGUAAACGCUGCUUGCUUGAUGUUAGUUGGGCUCCGAGCCCAACUAGUGUCGGAGAGAAGUUGUUAAGCAAGCUGCCUGGGAAGUACGAUCGCAAGAUUGAAAC
Molecule: ribosomal RNA, 828 nt
Filed under: uncultured archaeon
Lineage: Archaea
Description: bacterial SSU rRNA
Rfam family: Archaeal small subunit ribosomal RNA
Source: RNAcentral